CCCGAGGCUCCGCUCCGCACCUGGGCUCGGUGCUGUGCUGAGGGAGGGGCUGCGGCAGAGCUCCUGUGGUGGCUGGGCUUUGGGAGCCUUUCGUCCGCUGCUUACCCGGACACGGGGAGGCACCGGGGUUUGAGGCGCCAGAGCUCGGAGUGAGCACCUGCCCGGCGGGGAGCUGCGCUCAGGCUGCUUCUGCGGAUGUUGUAUGUGCCUGUGCGGAGCUGUAAUUGAGUCAGGAGCAUUAUCUGCAGGGGAGAGACUGUGGCUGUAAUCUCUCUCAUUAAUCAACAAGAACAAGCUGGAGACCAUCAAGUCAAUGACUUUAGACCAUCACAUGACAUCAGCUUGUAGUACUUUAUGCUUUUGCUGCUUGCCUGGGAGGACUGAAGAACCUCUGCAGCUACUGUGGAAUCACCUGAGGCAACACAGGUGGCUCCUGCUUUAAGAGUGAUGUCUCAAGGGUGUCAGCAGGGAGAGGCAGCUCUGUCUCGCUGUCCCCUCAGUGAAGGAACAGGACAUGCCAGGCCCAGCAGCAGGAGCUGUGGAACGUGCACCACCCACCUCAUCCCUGGGACAAAAGGCUAGUGUUAUUUUUACAGAUUAUUGUCAGAUGGUCAGAAGAUUUUCCUUUUAUUAGUGUAAAUGGUUAUCA
RNAcentral lists this long non-coding RNA (649 nucleotides) under Cyanistes caeruleus (blue tit). RNAcentral's name for it is "lncRNA (ENSCCEG00000024294.1)". Lineage: Eukaryota; Metazoa; Chordata; Aves; Passeriformes; Paridae. The record is from RNAcentral.